This 621-nucleotide ribosomal RNA is filed under the name Nubsella sp. Ri3Pt_4400. RNAcentral's name for it is "bacterial SSU rRNA". It matches the Rfam family "Bacterial small subunit ribosomal RNA", at positions 395 to 1013 of the family's 1533-position model. The record is from RNAcentral. Lineage: Bacteria; Pseudomonadati; Bacteroidota; Sphingobacteriia; Sphingobacteriales; Sphingobacteriaceae.
UGCCGCGUGCGGGAUGACUCGCCUCCGGGUUGUAACCUGCUUUUAUCCGGAAAAAGGGAGCUCCUCGUGAGGACAGCUGAAUGUACCGGAACAAUAAGGAUCGGCUAGCUCCCUGCCGCCGUCCGCGGUAAGACGGAGGAUCCGAGCGGAAUCCGGAUUUAUUGGGAUUAAAGGGGGCGUAUGCCGCCUGUGCAGUCAAGGCUGAAAGAUCGUCCCCCAGCUAGCGCAGGGCCCUGGAAAACGAUGGGGUGGAAUGGAAGAUAGGAAUGCCGAAUGAAACAAGUAGCGGUGAAAAGCAUAGAUAUGUCACAGAUCACCGAUUGCGAUGGCAGCUUACUAUGGUCUUAUUGACGCUGAGGCACUAAAGCGUGGGGAUCAUACAGGAUUAUAUACCCUGGUAGUCCACGCCCUAAACGAUGAACACUCGCUGUUGGCGAUACACAGUCAGCGGCUAAUCGAAAGCGUUAAGUGUUCCACCUGGGGAGUACGCCCGCAAGGGUGAAACUCAAAGGAAUUGACGGGGGGCCCGCACAAGCGGAGGAGCAACGUGGUUUAAUUCGAUGAUACGCGAGGAACCUUACCCGGGCUUGAAAGUUAGUGAAUGAUCCAGAGAUGGGAUCA